Niastella yeongjuensis is the source of this 37-nucleotide regulatory RNA element. It matches the Rfam family "DUF805b RNA". Rfam says of the family: Bacteroidetes, Chlorobi (1 example), Proteobacteria. Lineage (Flavobacteria) The record is from Rfam. Lineage: Bacteria; Pseudomonadati; Bacteroidota; Chitinophagia; Chitinophagales; Chitinophagaceae.
UCAGGCGUAGCCGAAAACCUGCAUAAUAGAGUAGGCG